Long non-coding RNA from Ictalurus punctatus (channel catfish), 1197 nucleotides. The record is from Ensembl. Lineage: Eukaryota; Metazoa; Chordata; Actinopteri; Siluriformes; Ictaluridae.
UUGUGUCUUUGAAGGCUGAUUUUGAGGUUAGCUACUUGCAAUAUGUUCACAAUAACUCCACAGCAAUUAGCUGCCCAAUAUGCGCUGUGAGAUUAGGCAGGUUCAGGUGCUUCGAUUGUUGAAACUUUAUUUAUAUGGAUUUAAAUGAUCACCGCAAGCGUUUUGAUGCUGUGUACAGUGAAGAAGAGAAUGUCGAGGAAGUAAUUUAUGUUCAGACAAACUGAUGAUUUUCUUGCAGCGAAUUGAAUUUAUUGCACUUUCUAUCCGUCUCCCUUUUUCAUUUUUCUUUCUUUCUCUUGCCACAUCAUUCCUCUGUCUCUCUGUGUGUACUGAACGACAUGGCAGUCCCCGGAUCGAGCCCUAAUUGCGAUGAUCAACCCUGCGCUGGGUGACGCGGAGUGGCGGCUUGACAAAUGCGAUCAUCCGGAUGGCCGGGGUUGAAGUGGCGCUGGUUGGCAGCUGCCCAUGUUCCUCAGCUGGGACCCGCUCUUGCCCCGGAGGUCAGGGCACCAGUCGGCCUGAUGAGUGGACUGUGUGUAACGUGUUGGGCGAGGGGACAGAAGUUCCCCUUCAGCUGCCUAGCCUCGAGGGCCAAAGACUGCUUCUGAACGGAGGUCAUGCCAGAGACUGACAUUGAUGUUAUUCCAGCGGGGCAGAGAGCCCACGUUCUGCUCCCAUGCUGCUGCCUGGAGACCUCUAAGCCAUAAAGCACCUUCUCAGAGCGUGCCCUUGACGAUUCGAGGCCUUGUGGGUGUGUAGGAUGGCUUCAACUCAAAAGCAGAAGCCGCCUUUGCACCCACUGAGGGUCUGGAAGAGCACAAACAACUGAUGUGUGAUGUUUUAUUGAGACACCUGUUCAUGUAUAAAUUGUAGGAUCUCAUUUGUUUAUAAUUAUAUUAGCAGAUUUACUUUGUGAUCUGCCCAAUGUACCCUUUAUCUACACAUUUAAAAAAAAAAAAAUAGAUAUGAAAUUUUUCCAUUUUUGUGACAUGGUGCAAGCACAGAAAUAUACCCGUUGUUGUUGUUGUUAUUGGUUUGGGUGUGUGUUUUUUCUUUUUUUUUCUUUUGAGGUGGAACCUCAGCACAGGAUGUAAAUGUAUGAAGAACCAAAUUUUGUCCAAAAAUGGGUCAAUGGAUGCAUUAUGGAGAGGUAUAGUUGGCAUCCUUUUGUGGUAUCUAAUCAAAUAAACUUCCUCA